GGGGAUAUAGCUCAGUUGGUAGAGCGCUUGCCUUGUAUGCAUAAGGCCCUGGGUUCAAUCCCUAGCACCACCA
Non-coding RNA from Ictidomys tridecemlineatus (thirteen-lined ground squirrel), 73 nucleotides. Lineage: Eukaryota; Metazoa; Chordata; Mammalia; Rodentia; Sciuridae. The record is from Rfam.